GAUACCCGUCUAUUCAUGGAAUAAAUAAAGUCGAAAAAUACGAACUACAGUUUAAAACUUAAAGAUUUUGGCGGUGUCUCAUCGAACCAGGGGAACCUGUCUCAUAACUCGAUAAUCCACGAAACCCCUACCCUCUUUAGACCUAACAGCUUGUGUACUGCCGUCGUAAGCACACCUCUAAAAGCCRAUUAAGUAUGCAAUUAUGACUAACUCAUAUACGUCAGGUCAAAGUGCAGCUUAUGAGAAGGCGACGAUGGGUUACACCCUAAAUAAAGAUACGAAAUAUGGCACCAAAAGCCACAUGAAGGUGGACUUGGACGUAACAAAGAUAUAAAAUCAAAAUGAAAACGAAUCUGAGGCAUGCACACAUCGCCCGUCACUCUUGCCCAAAGGUGAGAUAAGUC
RNAcentral lists this ribosomal RNA (404 nucleotides) under Lumbricus terrestris (common earthworm). Its description in RNAcentral is "partial 12S ribosomal RNA". It matches the Rfam family "Bacterial small subunit ribosomal RNA", at positions 875 to 1487 of the family's 1533-position model. The record is from RNAcentral. Lineage: Eukaryota; Metazoa; Annelida; Clitellata; Crassiclitellata; Lumbricidae.